GGGCCAGAACACUUUGUUCUCUGUGUAAGGGAAUGUUACUGUUACUAAAUACUACAUAGUAUACGUAUUGGUAAUUAAGUUGGUUAGUUCAUGUGUAUUCCAACAAAGUGAACUGCAGCUCUACUCUUUGUCCUAAUGACUUUUAAACUUAUGUGAAUGUCUUUAACCAUUAUCACAUUAUAGAUCAUGAAGCCACUCCUGAGAGAGAUCCUCUUUUUAGACUCGCAGUACACAUUGCAUGAGUCUGGGUUCGGUGAUGCUGAGUACAGAGCCAUAUUUAGGUCCACAUUUGAGGCUUACUGUUUGCUAUGUUCAUAUAGCAACUUACAUUUUGGCUACGUUCCUAUAGCCUGUACUGAUAUGUUUCAGCUGAUAACGUCUCAGUGGUUGUCACAUCUAUCUGUUUCAAAUUAUUUAUAUUUUUGCUUGUAUAGAGAUCUUGCUCAGAAAAUUGAUACAGGGAGCUGGACUGAGAAGACUGGGCAUGAUAUUGUGGGCUUGCCACACCAGAUCUGUGGAAAUGACUGUGGGAUUUUUAUGCUUAUGUAUACACUCUCCAUUGUGACAGGCACAGGGUUUCAAUUCCAGGAGGUGAGUUGAUUCA
Molecule: long non-coding RNA, 604 nt
Organism: Megalobrama amblycephala (Wuchang bream)
Lineage: Eukaryota; Metazoa; Chordata; Actinopteri; Cypriniformes; Xenocyprididae
Exons: 3
Source: RefSeq, a predicted model, not a curated record